Molecule: ribosomal RNA, 406 nt
Filed under: uncultured bacterium
Lineage: Bacteria
Description: partial 16S ribosomal RNA
Rfam family: Bacterial small subunit ribosomal RNA
Source: RNAcentral
AUUGAACGCUGGCGGCAGGCCUAACACAUGCAAGUCGAACGAGUGGCGGACGGGUGAGUAAUGUCUGGGAAACUGCCUGAUGGAGGGGGUUAACUACUGGAAACGGUAGCUAAUACCGCAUACCAUCAGAUGUGCCAAGGUGGGAUUAGGUUGUUGGUGGGGUAACGGCUCACCAAGGCGACGAUCCCUAGCUGGUAUGAGAGGAUGACCAGCCACACUGGAACUGAGACACGGUCCAGACUCCUACGGGAGUCAGCAGUGGGGAAUAUUGAACAAUGGGCGCAAGCCUGAUGCAGCCAUGCCGCGUGUGUGAAGAAGGCCUUCGGGGUGUAAAGUACUUUCAGCGGGGAGGCGUUACCCGCAGAAGAAGCACCGGCUAACUCCGUGCCAGCAGCCGCGGUAAUUC